This 1009-nucleotide long non-coding RNA is filed under the name Macaca fascicularis (crab-eating macaque). RNAcentral's name for it is "lncRNA (ENSMFAG00000059328.1)". Lineage: Eukaryota; Metazoa; Chordata; Mammalia; Primates; Cercopithecidae. The record is from RNAcentral.
CGCGCAAGUCCUUCUUCGCCCUCCUCCCCCGGAAACGGAGCGCGCACUCGGAGUUCCGCAGGACAGUUCUGUUCCGGACCCAGCACUCAGACUGCGCACGGCCACCAGGGGGCGUUAGGCCUCGCUGGGGAUUCCGGGGCUGAGACCCCGAGAUUCGGAGCCGGGCGCGUUACCUGUGCUCGAUACCUGGGUGCUGUCACCGACCGAGAGGUGCAGGGCCCCCAGAGCGUUCGGCCUGCCUGCCACCCACCACGUAGGCUCUGCAGGGAAACAGAGUCCCACAGGCGUCGUUGCCCUCCGCCUUCCGGCCUCUGCAUAAAAACAACUGUAUCAUGGUUUACCAGAGAAACAAACCAAAAGAUCAUAUGGAUUUCGAUGAUAUAGAUGUAAUAAAUCUAUAAUAGAUUUAUUAUAAGGAAAUGGCUCAUGCAAUUAUGGAGUCUGAGAAGUCCUACAAUCUGCAGUUGACAAGCUGGAGACCCAGCAAAGGAGAUGAUAUAGUUCCAGUCUACAUAUGAAGACUGACAACCAGGGGACUGAAGGUGUAAGUUCCAGUCUGAAGGCAGAAAACCAAUGUCUGUGCUCAAGCAGUCAGGCAGACAGAGUGACUUGUCCUUUCCUCUAAUUUUGUUCUAGUCAUGACCUCAAUGGAUGAGAUGGUGCUCACCCACACUGGGGAAAGCAAUCUGUUUUACUCAGUCAACUGAUUCAAAUAUUCAUCUCUUCCAGAAACAGCCUCACAGACACACCCAGAAAUAGUGUUUAAUCAGAUAUCUGGGCACCCAUGACCCAGUCAAAUUGACACAUAAAAUAAACUAUCACAGGUCUACCCCUUGUCAACUUGGCAUCCAUACACUUCUCCUUAACCCAUACUUAAUCUUCAAAUAAAAACAUUAACAAGGUUGUAGUUCCACCUAACAUGAUUCAACCAUUCUGUGUACAACUGAAAAUACACUAACUCCUUCCACAGAAGAGAUGACAUCCUUGAGUGGUGCUUAUUCUUCUUGAU